Drosophila biarmipes is the source of this 2538-nucleotide long non-coding RNA. RefSeq lists it as uncharacterized. NCBI's taxonomy places the organism in Eukaryota, Metazoa, Arthropoda, Insecta, Diptera, Drosophilidae. The transcript is spliced from 3 exons. The record is from RefSeq and is a predicted model, not a curated record.
UUUCGAGUAACGGAACCAUAAUUUUCUGGGUUAUGUUAUAAAACCUUUACCAAAUUUCAAAAAGGGACAUUCUUUAUAUGUGGAUCAAUGCACAACAUCUUUAACUUAAUGACCCACUUAUCUGACUUUAAUUUUUUUCAAAUAUACCACUUAUAUUAAUAAAUUUAAAUGUGUCGCAGCACUCUUUUUAUACCUCAAACAGAAUGCAUCUUUUUGGUUUAUUUCUGAAGAUAACGGAGAGGAGCAAAACAAAAGGACCGGCCGAAGGUUGUCUCUAUGAGAGCCGCGGGCAGGCAGAUUAUAAGACACAGAAAGAGAGGGUAAUCUCCGAAGAUCUGUCUCUCUUUUUUUGCCGGACCGCCGACAGCAGCAUAUACAUACAUAGUUUCAAAAAAAAAAGGCUAGUGUGAAACUGAAGGGAAUGUACAGGGUGUCUGGUUCCCCAACAUACCUCCCCCUAAACGGCUGUUCACCAAAAAGACAAGAUCGCCAAUUUGGUUAUGUGGCGCUUGAAGACUCAUUGAGCGGCUUUUACGGUGACCACUCGGACUUUGUCGUCUUGUCCGGCGUCCAUAUGCCAACGUUUCCAAAGCGGUUUAUGGGAACAUUUAGACGGGAUGGCUCCGGUGAGGCAGUGUAGGGAGCGACAAUAAAAAAAUGGGCCGGAGUAAGCGGAUCUAGAGUAGAAUCCCCUGAUGAGCAACGAGGACGAGAGUUGACUUGAUGGACCGAACUCUGGUUUCCCAGAUUCCUUUGAAAUGUGGACGGUAUAAGAUGGCACAAGAUUCUUCGUUGGCGAAGAAGUUUCGUUCUUGCGUUGCUCCAUGGCUAGCAGCCUAAUUUCGUCGAGUACUCGUUUGCUGCCGUGAAAGGUGGUGCCGUUGUCUGAGUAGAGAUCAGCAGAGCUUGCAUUGGAUGAAACUGGCGUUUCUAGCUGCGUAUACCUCUUUGAGAAGUCGGUCUUGAGUUGCCUGCAGUUACUUUGAAGCUAUAAACUUAGAAUCAGGCCUGUGCUGCAAACGAAAACUAUGAAUAAAGCGAGGGGAGCACGAUCUCCGAACAGAUCGUACUGUUAGCAGGAAUAGUUAACGGCGCAUUGACAAUAGUGAACAGCCGCGUCAUAAGUAGUAGGUCAGCGUUCAAUUCCAGGCGUGAAUCGAUACUGAUUUGAUGUUUUGGCGGCCCCGAGAUUGUGGAACUUCCCAUCCGAUUCUACUCGACUAUAGACAACAACAUGGAUGCGUCUGCGAAUCCUGGCGUACUUAACUAUGUUAAAAAUGUUCUCAAAAUGAGAACCAUAUUUUGAACCCAAAAGAUUCUCUCUAUGAUUGAAUCAAGUUAUUUUUGAACUUCAAAUUUUUAUACCCUUGCAGAGGGUAUAAAUAUUUAAGUCAGAAGUUUGCAACGCAGUGAAGGAGACGUUUCCGACCCCAUAAAGUAUAUAUAAAGUAGAUCAGCGUCACAAGAUGAGUCGAUCUAGCCAUGUCCGUCUGUCCGUCCGUUUCUACGCAAACUAGUCUCUCAGUUUUAAAGCUAUCGGGCUGAAACUUUCCCAAAAGUCUUCUUUCUAUUGCAGGUAGUAUAUAAGUCGGAACCAGCCGGAUCGGACCACUAUAUCUUAUAGCUGCCAUAGGAACUAUCGGGGAAAAAAUUUAAAAAAAAAUGAUAUCUUCCGUGUUUCUUAACAUUUACCUUUCUAAGCUUGGAUAUAACAUUUUUAAAUUUGUUCUGAAUUUCGAAUUAAAUUUUAUUAAAAUCGGACGACUAUAUCAUAUAGCUGGCAUAGAAACGAUCGGAUAAUUGGUGGGAAAUAAUGUGAAACAAAUUAUAGCUUUGGGGCAUGUUUCCAUAUUCUUAUAAUAUUGUGAAUAUAAAUUUCAAGUCAAGCAAGUGCUUCCUUAAUUGCAAGAUAUUGUGCGUUAAUCCACGUUUAAAAUACGUCUCUUUUUGAGUUUUUUUUUUUUAUAGGUUUUACAACACAGUUAGAAGAGGUGCGUUGGACAAAGAUUCCGGGGACACGAACAAAUGUUUACGAAAAGCGAUGGAGAAUAUUAAAAACAAAUUAACAAAACAAAAAACUAGGCUAACUAACAAUAACUGUAAUUCAACAGGAACCCUAAAUAAGACUUCCGUACGUUCCGUUGUAUGGCCGUUGCUCAUAUUUUAGUAUCAUAUUAUAUUAUCUUUGCUUAAAACGUUCUUCGAUGGCUUAGACUCCUGAUGCAUCUAGAUGGUUGGCCCAUAAUUUCUAGGCGGCUUAAAGCGAAUGUCCAUGCCAAAAGUCGAAUUGAGUAUCAGUAUCGCCCAAUCUGAACUUCGUAAACACGUUUUCCGCUGGAGCGAAGUUAUAGAUUUCCUCGUCUCUUUAUAGUAAGCGACACUGCUAUAGAAGGAAAAGUCACUGCAGCGAAAUUUCGGCGCUGCAAGAGAAUAGGUAUAAGAAAUAUUAUAUUUUUCACAAAGCGAAAAACAUUGCUUUGCAGUUAUUUCUUCAUAAACGAGUUACCCUUACUGAGUUAAAAAGAUAAAAUGAUGAUG